UACGGAGGGUGCAAGCGUUGUUCGGAAUUACUGGGCGUAAAGAGCGUGCAGGUGGUUUUUUAAGUUUCGUGUGAAAGCCCACGGCUCAACCGUGGAAUGGCACGGAAAACUGGAAGACUUGAGUACGGGAGAAGAGGGCGGAAUUCCCAGUGUAGAGGUGAAAGUCGUAGAUAUUGGGAGGAACACCGAUGGCGAAAGCGGCUCUCUAGACCGAUACUGACACUCAUACGCGAGAGCGUGGGUAGCAAACAGG
RNAcentral lists this ribosomal RNA (253 nucleotides) under uncultured bacterium. RNAcentral describes it as "partial 16S ribosomal RNA". It matches the Rfam family "Bacterial small subunit ribosomal RNA", at positions 524 to 776 of the family's 1533-position model. The record is from RNAcentral.